RNAcentral lists this ribosomal RNA (221 nucleotides) under uncultured bacterium. RNAcentral's name for it is "partial 16S ribosomal RNA". It matches the Rfam family "Bacterial small subunit ribosomal RNA", at positions 524 to 744 of the family's 1533-position model. The record is from RNAcentral.
UACGGAGGGUGCAAGCGUUAAUCGGAAUUACUGGGCGUAAAGCGCACGCAGGCGGUCUGUCAAGUCGGAUGUGCAAUCCCCGGGCUCAACCCGGGAACGGCAGUCGAAACUGGCAGACUAGAGUCUUGUAGAGGGGGGUAGAAUUCCAGGUGUAGCGGGGAAAUGCGUAGAGAUCUGGAGGAAUACCGGUGGCGAAGGCGGCCACCUGGACAAAGACUGAC